UUAGUGGCGAACGGGUGAGUAACACGUGAGGAACUUGCCCAUGAGCGGGGGACAACAUUCGGAAACGGAUGCUAAUACCCCAUAGGUGGAUUGGUCGCAUGACGAAUUCAUUAAAGGUGGCUUCGCUACCACUCAUGGAUAGCCUCGCGGCGUAUUAGCUAGUUGGUAAGGUAAUGGCUUACCAAGGCAGUGAUACGUAGCCGACUUGAGAGGGUGAUCGGCCACACUGGGACUGAGACACGGCCCAGACUCCUACGGGAGGCAGCAGUAGGGAAUCUUCCACAAUGGGUGCAAACCUGAUGGAGCAAUGCCGCGUGAGUGAAGAAGGUCUUCGGAUCGUAAAGCUCUGUUGUUAGAGAAGAACACGUGCUAGGUAACUACUAGCGCCUUGACGGUAUCUAACCAGAAAGUCACGGCUAACUACGUGCCAGCAGCCGCGGUAAUACGUAGGUGACAAGCGUUGUCCGGAUUUAUUGGGCGUAAAGGGAGCGCAGGCGGUCUGUUUAGUCUAAUGUGAAAGCCCACGGCUUAACCGUGGAACGGCAUUGGAAACUGACAGACUUGAAUGUAGAAGAGGAAAAUGGAAUUCCAAGUGUAGCGGUGGAAUGCGUAGAUAUUUGGAGGAACACCAGUGGCGAAGGCGAUUUUCUGGUCUAACAUUGACGCUGAGGCUCGAAAGCGUGGGGAGCGAACAGGAUUAGAUACCCUGUAGUCCACGCCGUAAACGAUGAGUGCUAAGUGUUGGGGGCUUUCCGGCCCUCGGUGCUGGAGCUAACGUAUUAAGCACUCCGCCUGGGGAUUACGACCGCAAGGU
This 814-nucleotide ribosomal RNA is filed under the name uncultured bacterium. RNAcentral describes it as "bacterial SSU rRNA". It matches the Rfam family "Bacterial small subunit ribosomal RNA", at positions 92 to 894 of the family's 1533-position model. The record is from RNAcentral.